UGCGUACAGACUGCUGGCUGGGCUAGGUUGCUCUGUGCUCCCGGCUCCCAAGUGACCUGCUGACCUGCUGCGCCACACAAGCGCAUUCCCGCUGCUGCUGAGCUGCUCAGAACCAUCCGCCCAGCUUGGAGACAGUUUCUAGCUGCCUAGAGUCGAGUAGGCCUCGGCUUUCAGCAGGGGCUUCCCCUGAUCACUACUGCCGUAAAAGUAAAGCCGCAUCUCUUUCAGUGGUUGCGGUUGCGGUAGCAAGGCCGUAUACUCUCUAAGAUAAUUGCAGUCGCUUUUGUGACCUCUUUCCACUGCUGACUGACCGCUGCUGCCAAACGCUGCACGGAGUAGCUGAACGCCUGUGUCACCUGCUGGUCAAAGAGAGUUACUGCAUCUGGAGUAGAAAUCAGUGAAGGAAAAAAGAAAGAGAAAAUUGAGAAGAAAGUUUCAAGACAGCAAAAAAUAUUCCCAAGACCUUUAUUUUACAAAAGAAUUCAUAGGAAUACAUAAGAAAUGCUACAACUCAGCAAGAAAGACAAAUUAACUUUAAAAAAGAUGUUAACAACAACAAAAAGCUCCGAGCUAUGUGCUUCACAAAUAUUUGUGCAAAACCAAUAAACACAUGGUAGGUACUUUACAUCAGAAGUAUGAGAAAGCUGACCUAGAAAGAAGGAAGAUUCCAUUCCACACACUAAGGAUGGAAACAAAUGCACAAGCAAAAUGGUUUUGGAGAAGAAUGAAUACAGCAUAUUCAACAAGAAUAGCCCCAAACUGGAAAGAGUGUUGAUGUCCAUCCACAAGCCUGAAAGAACAAACUAGGACAAAGAACCACACAGAGACUACUGGCCUCUUGUGCAAAGAACUACCCCCACCUCGACCGCUGACCUUGGACAUGCUAUCCUAAUUGAGCUUGCAGGAGAUAAACUUAAAGAAGACUGCUGAAUCCAAGACAGUUCUUCAGUUCCUCUGCUUCUGAGACGGUCCAUCUGAUAGUUUAGACCUUAACCAAAGUUGUAUGUCCUGAUGUUGCUGUGAGACCUUAGGAAGUUGCACGCUUGUACUUCCUGCUUACCCUAAUAUUGUUAUGUUCCCUCUCAGGUCUUUGAUGAGGUUGAAGAUUAGACAGUCAUAGCAAUACCCUCUUAUAUUUUUGUUUGUUUGUUCUUUGGUUUCUUGAGACAGGGUUUCUCUGUAGCUUUGGAGCCUAUCCUGGAACUUGCUCUGGAGACCAGGCUGGCCUCGAACUCACAGAGAUCCGCCUGCCUCUGCCUUCUGAGUGCUGGGAUUAAAGGUGUGGGCCACCACUGCCUGACUAUCCUAUCUUAUCUUAAUUAGACAAGAUUCAGACUUUCCAGAUUAGGACUGCUAUCAGAGUAAUCUCUGUCAUGCCUUUACUGGACUUGUAUACUGGAC
RNAcentral lists this long non-coding RNA (1401 nucleotides) under Cricetulus griseus (Chinese hamster). Its description in RNAcentral is "lncRNA (ENSCGRG00015041258.1)". The record is from RNAcentral. Lineage: Eukaryota; Metazoa; Chordata; Mammalia; Rodentia; Cricetidae.